GAUGAACGCUGGCGGCGUGCCUAAUACAUGCAAGUCGAGCGAACGGACGAGAAGCUUGCUUUUCUGAUGUUAGCGGCGGACGGGUGAGUAACACGUGGAUAACCUACCUAUAAGACUGGGAUAACUUCGGGAAACCGGAGCUAAUACCGGAUAAUAUUUUGAACCGCAUGGUUCAAAAGUGAAAGACGGUCUUGCUGUCACUUAUAGAUGGAUCCGCGCUGCAUUAGCUAGUUGGUAAGGUAACGGCUUACCAAGGCAACGAUGCAUAGCCGACCUGAGAGGGUGAUCGACCACACUGGGAGUGAGACACGGUCCAGACUCCUACGGGAGGCAGCAGUAGGGAAUCUUACGCAAUGGGCGAAAGCCUGACGGAGCAACGCCGCGUGAGUGAUGAAGGUCUUCGGAUCGGAAAACUCUGUUAUUAGGGAAGAACAUAUGUGUAAGUAACUGUGCACAUAUUGACGGUACCUAAUCAGAAAGCCACGGCUAACUACGUG
This 497-nucleotide ribosomal RNA is filed under the name uncultured bacterium. RNAcentral describes it as "partial 16S ribosomal RNA". It matches the Rfam family "Bacterial small subunit ribosomal RNA", at positions 28 to 507 of the family's 1533-position model. The record is from RNAcentral.